AUUUGAUGGUGAGGACACGGGACGCAUGAUUUCUUGAACCACUCUCAAUACUCAUAGAGCGCUUCCCCAUCAUUUUGAAGAAUGCUUGAGAUCUCCUUCCUUAUGU
Arachis duranensis is the source of this 106-nucleotide small nucleolar RNA. NCBI's taxonomy places the organism in Eukaryota, Viridiplantae, Streptophyta, Magnoliopsida, Fabales, Fabaceae. The record is from RefSeq and is a predicted model, not a curated record.